This 525-nucleotide ribosomal RNA is filed under the name uncultured bacterium. Its description in RNAcentral is "bacterial SSU rRNA". It matches the Rfam family "Bacterial small subunit ribosomal RNA", at positions 777 to 1314 of the family's 1533-position model. The record is from RNAcentral.
AAUAGAUACCCUGGUAGUCCACGCCGUAAACGAUGGAUGCUAGCUGUUAGGAGUAUCGACCCUCCUAGUAGCGUAGCUAACGCGUUAAGCAUCCCGCCUGUGGAGUACGAGCGCAAGCUUAAAACAUAAAGGAAUUGACGGGGACCCGCACAAGCGGUGGAGCGUGUUGUUUAAUUCGAUGGUAAGCGAAGAACCUUACCCAGGCUUGACAUCCUGCCAAAGACUCCGAAAGGAGACUGUGCCUUCGGGCCGCAGUGACAGGUGAUGCAUGGCCGUCGUCAGCUCGUGUCGUGAGAUUGUUUGGUUAAGUCCAUCAACGAGCGCAACCCCUAUGACUAGUUGUAUUUCUCUAGUCAGACUGCCCUGGCAACAGGGAGGAAGGAGGGGAUGAUGUCAGGUCAGUAUCUCCCUUACGCCUGGGGCUACAAACACGCUACAAUGGCCGGUACAAAGGGCAGCCAACCCGGCGAGGGGGAGCAAAUCCCAUCAAAGCCGGUCUCAGUUCGGAUUGCAGGCUGAAACUCG